Molecule: unclassified non-coding RNA, 210 nt
Filed under: Hevea brasiliensis (rubber tree)
Lineage: Eukaryota; Viridiplantae; Streptophyta; Magnoliopsida; Malpighiales; Euphorbiaceae
Source: RNAcentral
AUGGGAAGACAAUUAUUUACAUUACAUACCUAAAAAUAGCCAGAGAACCAAUACAGGAAGGGGAAAAGAUGUAAUUUGAGAAAAAAAAAUUAUAAUCCUUAGAACUUGUAAACUUUGUUCCUCAUUCCACUCUUAGAUGAGUAACCCCGCAAGGCCAACGCAAAAGAAUAAUGAACCAGAACAAAAUUACUUAUCUUCUAAAGUAACUGU